GAUCCUGGCUCGGGAUGAACGCUAGCUACAGGCUUAACACAUGCAAGUCGAGGGGCAGCGGGAUUGAAGCUUGCUUCAAUUGCCGGCGACCGGCGCACGGGUGAGUAACGCGUAUCCAACCUUCCGUACACUCAGGGAUAGCCUUUCGAAAGAAAGAUUAAUACCUGAUGGUAUGAUGAGAUUGCAUGAUAUCAUCAUUAAAGAUUUAUCGGUNUACGAUGGGAUGCG
This 228-nucleotide ribosomal RNA is filed under the name uncultured bacterium. Its description in RNAcentral is "partial 16S ribosomal RNA". It matches the Rfam family "Bacterial small subunit ribosomal RNA", at positions 15 to 235 of the family's 1533-position model. The record is from RNAcentral.